GACGAACCGUGCAAACGUUAUUCGGAAUCACUGGGCUUAAAGGGCGCGUAGGCGGGUUGUCAAGUCAGGGGUGAAAUCUUUCGGCUCAACCGGAAAACAGCUUCUGAUACUGGCAGCCUGGAGGGAGGUAGGGGCAGAUGGAACUUCCGGUGGAGCGGUGAAAUGCGUAGAUAUCGGAAGGAACGCCGGUGGCGAAAGCGAUCUGCUGGACCUCUUCUGACGCUGAUGCGCGAAAGCCAGGGGAGCGAACGGG
RNAcentral lists this ribosomal RNA (253 nucleotides) under uncultured bacterium. Its description in RNAcentral is "partial 16S ribosomal RNA". It matches the Rfam family "Bacterial small subunit ribosomal RNA", at positions 524 to 776 of the family's 1533-position model. The record is from RNAcentral.